UACGUAGGGUGCGAGCGUUGUCCGGAAUUAUUGGGCGUAAAGCGCUUGUAGGCGGUUUGUCGCGUCUGCCGUGAAAAUCCGGGGCUCAACCCCGGACUUGCAGUUGGUACGGGCAGACUAGAGUGUGGUAGGGGAGACUGGAAUUCCUGGUGUAGCGGUGAAAUGCGCAGAUAUCAGGAGGAACACCGGUGGCGAAGGCGGGUCUCUGGGCCGAUACUGACGCUGAGGAGCGAAAGCGUGGGGAGCGAACAGG
This 253-nucleotide ribosomal RNA is filed under the name uncultured bacterium. RNAcentral's name for it is "partial 16S ribosomal RNA". It matches the Rfam family "Bacterial small subunit ribosomal RNA", at positions 524 to 776 of the family's 1533-position model. The record is from RNAcentral.